RNAcentral lists this ribosomal RNA (643 nucleotides) under uncultured bacterium. Its description in RNAcentral is "bacterial SSU rRNA". It matches the Rfam family "Bacterial small subunit ribosomal RNA", at positions 232 to 885 of the family's 1533-position model. The record is from RNAcentral.
CGCGGCCUAUCAGCUUGUUGGUGGGGUAAUGGCCUACCAAGGCGACGACGGGUAGCCGGCCUGAGAGGGUGACCGGCCACACUGGGACUGAGACACGGCCCAGACUCCUACGGGAGGCAGCAGUGGGGAAUCUUGCACAAUGGGCGAAAGCCUGAUGCAGCGACGCCGCGUGAGGGAUGACUGCCUUCGGGUUGUAAACCUCUUUCAGCAGGGAAGAAGCGAAAGUGACGGUACCUGCAGAAGAAGCACCGGCUAACUACGUGCCAGCAGCCGCGGUAAUACGUAGGGUGCGAGCGUUGUCCGGAAUUAUUGGGCGUAAAGAGCUUGUAGGCGGUUUGUCGCGUCUGCCGUGAAAUUUCGAGGCUCAACCUCGAACUUGCGGUGGGUACGGGCAGACUAGAGUGUGGUAGGGGAGACUGGAAUUCCUGGUGUAGCGGUGAAAUGCGCAGAUAUCAGGAGGAACACCGAUGGCGAAGGCAGGUCUCUGGGCCACUACUGACGCUGAGAAGCGAAAGCAUGGGGAGCGAACAGGAUUAGAUACCCUGGUAGUCCAUGCCGUAAACGUUGGGAACUAGGUGUGGGUCUCAUUCCACGAGAUCCGUGCCGCAGCUAACGCAUUAAGUUCCCCGCCUGGGGAGUACGG